RNAcentral lists this long non-coding RNA (300 nucleotides) under Ananas comosus (pineapple). RNAcentral's name for it is "long non-coding RNA (ACOM_LNC021736)". Lineage: Eukaryota; Viridiplantae; Streptophyta; Magnoliopsida; Poales; Bromeliaceae. The record is from RNAcentral.
AACACACGCGUUUUUCUUUUCGAGCGUCUAUUUGGUUUGGUUGGAGCCUUCUGUAAAAGUGUGGUUCGAUAAUUUAUCUAAAGAGUUGGAACAAUUGUUGACCCGACUCACAUCCGUCAUUUUAGUGGGUCUAUCGAUUCGGCCCAAAUUAAAACUAUAUAUAUCUGAUGACUCAACUUUUAUAUCAUUUUGAGUUGACGGAACCAGCAACAAAAAAAAAAAAGUAAUAAGAGUGUGAAAAAGAGGAGUAAAAAAAAAAUUGGUAGAAAAAGAGAAAAAUACUUGAUGUUAUUUUUUUUA